UUACGGCCACAUCACAUUGAAACACCUAUUCCUGUACGAUCACGUUAAGCAACAUCGAACCUGAUGAGUACUUAGAUGAGUGACCGCUUGAGAAUAACAGGUGCUGCAA
Non-coding RNA from Acanthosepion pharaonis, 109 nucleotides. NCBI's taxonomy places the organism in Eukaryota, Metazoa, Mollusca, Cephalopoda, Sepiida, Sepiidae. The record is from the annotation of a GenBank genome assembly.